RNAcentral lists this ribosomal RNA (318 nucleotides) under Listeria monocytogenes. RNAcentral's name for it is "bacterial SSU rRNA". It matches the Rfam family "Bacterial small subunit ribosomal RNA", at positions 724 to 1040 of the family's 1533-position model. Lineage: Bacteria; Bacillati; Bacillota; Bacilli; Caryophanales; Listeriaceae. The record is from RNAcentral.
ACUCUCUGGUCUGUAACUGACGCUGAGGCGCGAAAGCGUGGGGAGCAAACAGGAUUAGAUACCCUGGUAGCCCACGCCGUAAACGAUGAGUGCUAAGUGUUAGGGGGUUUCCGCCCCUUAGUGCUGCAGCUCACGCAUCAAGCACUCCGCCUGGGGAGCACGACCGCAAGGUUGAAACUCAAAGGAAUUGACGGGGGCCCGCACAAGCGGUGGAGCAUGUGGUUCAUUUCGAAGCAACGCGCAGAACCUUACCAGGUAUUGACAUCCUUUGACCACUCUGGUGACAGAGCUUUCCCUUCGGGGACAAAGUGACAGGGG